Molecule: ribosomal RNA, 492 nt
Filed under: uncultured bacterium
Lineage: Bacteria
Description: bacterial SSU rRNA
Rfam family: Bacterial small subunit ribosomal RNA
Source: RNAcentral
GAUCUUGGUUCAGGAUGAACGCUGGCGGCGCGCCUAACACAUGCAAGUCGAACGGUUAAAGCCCCUUCGGGGGUGCAUAAAGUGGCGAACGGCUGAGUAACACGUGGGCAACCUGCCCCCCGCUUCGGGAUAGCCUCGGGAAACCGUGGGUAAUACCGGAUACUCCGCCCACCCCGCAUGGGGAGGGCGGGAAAGCGCAUACGGCGGGGGAUGGGCCCGCGGCCUGUUAGCUCGUUGGCGGGGUAACGGCCCACCAAGGCUAUUAUGGGUAGCCGGGUUGAGAGACCGACCGGCCAGAUUGGGACUGAGACACGGCCCAGACUCCUACGGGAGGCAGCAGUGGGGAAUCUUGCACAAUGGGCGAAAGCCUGAUGCAGCCGACGCCGCGUGCGGGAUGAAGGCCCUCGGGUUGUAAACCGCUUUCAGCAGGGACGAGGCGCAAGUGACGGUACCUGCAGAAGAAGCCCCGGCUAACUACGUGCCAGCAGCCGC